RNAcentral lists this ribosomal RNA (248 nucleotides) under uncultured bacterium. Its description in RNAcentral is "partial 16S ribosomal RNA". It matches the Rfam family "Bacterial small subunit ribosomal RNA", at positions 526 to 779 of the family's 1533-position model. The record is from RNAcentral.
CGUAGGUGGCAAGCGUUGUCCGGAUUAUUGGGCGUAAAGCGAGCGCAGGCGGAAAUAAGUCUAAUGUGAAAGCCCUCGGCUUAACCGAGGAACUGCAUCGGAACUGUUUCUUGAGUGCAGAAGAGGAGAGUGGAACUCCAUGUGUAGCGGUGGAAUGCGUAGAUAUAUGGAAGAACACCAGUGGCGAAGGCGGCUCUCUGGUCUGCAACUGACGCUGAGGCUCGAAAGCAUGGGUAGCGAACAGGAUU